CAGCAGCCGCGGUAAUACGUAGGGGGCAAGCGUUAUCCGGAUUUACUGGGUGUAAAGGGAGCGUAGACGGCAUGGCAAGCCAGAUGUGAAAGCCCGGGGCUCAACCCCGGGACUGCAUUUGGAACUGUCAGGCUAGAGUGUCGGAGAGGAAAGCGGAAUUCCUAGUGUAGCGGUGAAAUGCGUAGAUAUUAGGAGGAACACCAGUGGCGAAGGCGGCUUUCUGGACGAUGACUGACGUUGAGGCUCGAAAGCGUGGGGAGCAAACAGGAUUAGAUACCCUGGUAGUCCNCGC
This 292-nucleotide ribosomal RNA is filed under the name uncultured bacterium. RNAcentral's name for it is "partial 16S ribosomal RNA". It matches the Rfam family "Bacterial small subunit ribosomal RNA", at positions 509 to 800 of the family's 1533-position model. The record is from RNAcentral.